Molecule: ribosomal RNA, 253 nt
Filed under: uncultured bacterium
Lineage: Bacteria
Description: partial 16S ribosomal RNA
Rfam family: Bacterial small subunit ribosomal RNA
Source: RNAcentral
UACGUAGGUGGCAAGCGUUGUUCGGAAUUAUUGGGCGUAAAGCGCACGUAGGCGGCUUAGCAAGUCGGAAGUGAAAUCCCUCGGCUCAACCAAGGAAGUGCUUUCGAAACUGCUGAGCUUGAGUACUUAAGAGGAUCGCGGAAUUCCCGGUGUAGAGGUGAAAUUCGUAGAUAUCGGGAGGAACACCAGUGGCGAAGGCGGCGAUCUGGGAAGAUACUGACGCUGAGGUGCGAAAGCGUGGGGAGCAAACAGG